UGAAUACGAGAUGCUACGGCGUCGAAGCAGUGUAUGUCAGACUUCCAAGAAAAGCUCGCAAUGUCAUAAAUAAAUAAUGCCUGUACCAUAACCGACACAGGUGGGUAGGUAGAGUAUACUAAGGGGCGCGAGAUAACUCUCUCUAAGGAACUCGGCAAAAUAACUCCGUAACUUCGGGAGAAGGAGUGCCUUAUUUAUAAGGUUGCAAUAACAAGAUCCAAGCAACUUUUAUCAAAAACACAGGUCUCCGCUAAGUCGUAAGACGAUGUAUGGGGGCUGACGCCUGCCCAGUGCCAGAAGGUUAAAGAAGUUGGUUAGCAUUGCGAAGCUGAUGUCUGAAGCCCUGGUGAACGGCGGCCGUAACGAUAACGGUCCUAAGGUAGCGAAAUUCCUUGUCGGGUAAGUUCCGACCCGCACGAAAGGCGUAAUGAUUUGGAUACUGUCUCGGAGAGGGACUCGGUGAAAUAGACUUGUCUGUGAAGAUGCGGACUACCUGCACCAGGACAGAAAGACCCUAUGAAGCUUUACUGUAACUUGAAAUUGAAAUUGGACUUUAUUUGCGCAGUAUAGGUGGGAGGCGUUGAAAAUAAUCUCGCGGGAUUAUUGGAGCCAUCAGUGAGAUACCACUCCUAUAAUGUUAGAUUUCUAACUUUGUAUCAUUAUCUGGUCAAAGAACAGUUUCAGGCGGGCAGUUUGACUGGGGCGGUCGCCUCCUAAAUGGUAACGGAGGCGUACAAAGGUUUCCUCUGAACGGGUAGAAAUCGUAUCUAGAGUAUAAAGGCAUAAGGAAGCUUGACUGUGAGACCUACAAGUCGAGCAGGGACGAAAGUCGGUCUUAGUGAUCUGACGGUGCUGAGUGGAAAGGCCGUCACUCAACGGAUAAAAGUUACUCUAAGGAUAACAGGCUGAUCUCCCCCAAGAGUUCACAUCGACGGGGAGGUUUGGCACCUUGAUGUCGGCUCAUCGCAUCCUGGGGCGGUAGUACGUCCCAAGGGUUGGGCUGUUCGCCCAUGAAAGCGGUACGCGAGCUGGGUUCAGAACGUCGUGAGACAGUUCGGUCCAUAUCCGGUGUAGGCGUUAGAAUAUUGAGAGGAGCCUUCUUUAGUACGAGAGGACCGAGAAGGACAUACCUCUGGUGUACCAGUUAUCGUGCCAACGGUAAACGCUGGGUAGCUAUGUAUGGAGUGGAUAACCGCUGAAAGCAUCUAAGUGGGAAGCCCACCUC
RNAcentral lists this ribosomal RNA (1225 nucleotides) under metagenome. Its description in RNAcentral is "bacterial LSU rRNA". It matches the Rfam family "Bacterial large subunit ribosomal RNA", at positions 1564 to 2800 of the family's 2925-position model. The record is from RNAcentral.